GUGGGGAAUAUUGGACAAUGGGGGCAACCCUGAUCCAGCAAUGCCGCGUGUGCGAUGAAGGCCUGCGGGUUGUAAAGCACUUUCGGUGGGGAAGAAAUACUCAAAGAUAAUACCUUUGAGGGCUGACAUUACCCACAGAAGAAGCACCGGCAAACUCUGUGCCAGCAGCCGCGGUAAUACAGAGGGUGCAAGCGUUAAUCGGAGUUACUGGGCGUAAAGGGCGCGUAGGCUGGUAUUUAAGUCGGUUGUGAAAUCCCUGGGCUUAACCUAGGAAUUGCAGCCGAUACUGGAUGCCUGGAGUAUGGUAGAGGAAAGUGGAAUUCUCGGUGUAGUGGUUAAAUACGUAGAUAUCGAGAAGAACACCAGUGGCGAAGGCGGCCCCCUGGACAAAGACUGACGCUCAGGUGCGAAAGCGUGGGGAGCAAACAGGAUUAGAAACCCUUGUAGUCC
RNAcentral lists this ribosomal RNA (450 nucleotides) under uncultured bacterium. Its description in RNAcentral is "partial 16S ribosomal RNA". It matches the Rfam family "Bacterial small subunit ribosomal RNA", at positions 354 to 796 of the family's 1533-position model. The record is from RNAcentral.